RNAcentral lists this long non-coding RNA (1113 nucleotides) under Piliocolobus tephrosceles (Ugandan red Colobus). RNAcentral's name for it is "lncRNA (ENSPTEG00000025885.1)". Lineage: Eukaryota; Metazoa; Chordata; Mammalia; Primates; Cercopithecidae. The record is from RNAcentral.
AUGAAAUGUACAAAUAUUAACGUACGCAACGUACUAGAUUUGAAUUUAAAAAAUAAAAUAAAAGAAAAUACAGACUUAAAUGAUAAUGAGAUAAAUGUUAUAUAUAAACGUUUUACAUCCAUAAGUACAAAUGGGAAAUUAAAUUAUGAAAAAUUUGAAAAAAGUUUAGGAAUAUUAGGAACAGUCAAAAAUGCAUAUUUAUAUCAAUCAAUUUUUAAAGCAUUUGAUUUUAACAAUGAUAAUUUUUUAGAUUUUUAUGAAUUUUGUUUGGCUAUUAGUAUUAUGCUAAAAGGUGACAAAAAAGAAAAACUUAAACUGUCUUAUCGUAUUUUACAUUCUGGUGGUUUUAAUUUGAUACAUGACUUGAGUGAGGAUAUUCAAACUAAGAUCGACGACAAAAACGACAAAAAUAACGACAAAAAUAACGACAAAAAUAACGACAAAAANNNNNNNNNNAACGACAAAAAUAACGACAAAAACGACAAAAAUAACGACAGUAACAACGAACACAAGUUUUAUAUAAAUCCCAAACCGAGUAACAUAUCAAAUAAUGAAACAUUAAAUAAAAUACCAAAUAAAAAUAAAAUAAAACAAAAAAAAAGUUAUGACAAUUAUAUUACUUAUGAAGAUUUUGAAAAAAUAGUUGUUAGCAUUAACGAUAUAAAAAAACAAUUGUUAGGAAUAAAUGAAGAUGUGUCAAAGGUACAAAUAAAAUAUACUUUUAAAUCGCUAAGUAUUUUAUGUGAUGAUGGAAAAUAUAGAAUGAAUUUUGACUGUUAUAAAAAAGCAUUAAAAUGUAAUGAGUUUUUAAAAUUAUUAGGUAUACAUACAGAAGUAGCAGAUAGUUUUGUUAAAAAAGAUAAUAUAUAUAAAAUAAAAAAAAAUAAAAUUCUAAAAAAUAAAAAAAAUAAAGAUAUAAUAACAUGUGUUGAUAAAUCAGAACAAAUUACAUGUAAUAGUAAAAUUUUACAAAAAAAAAAUUCUAUUAAUAUAAACAAAAAUUAUCAUACGAAUAAUAACAAUAAUAAUAUAAAAGAUGUUAACAAUAGUUAUUUGAAAAAAAAAAAAAAUAUAUUAACAGCAAUAAUAAUGAAGAUAGUAAUAACCAUAUAA